This 1818-nucleotide long non-coding RNA is filed under the name Amborella trichopoda. RNAcentral's name for it is "long non-coding RNA (ATRI_LNC004349)". Lineage: Eukaryota; Viridiplantae; Streptophyta; Magnoliopsida; Amborellales; Amborellaceae. The record is from RNAcentral.
CUUCUCCAUUUCAUAAAUCACCAAUUAAUCUUUAGCGUUUACAACUCAAUAGACCAUGAUGUCCAUUAAUUGCAGCAUAUAUUGAGACAAGUCGUUCAUAGACUACGCAACUAAGGUCGCAACUGUCUCGUCCCAACAUGGCCCAGUGGAGCCUGUAACGACGGCCGCCCUUGAUUUAUACCUGAAGCGGCCGCACGGUGUAGCUCGGAUUGAUAUAUACCUUCUUCCAAUCAACUAAAAUUUCUCAUUCCAAUGGCUUCUUUUUUCUUUUAUUUUUCAUUGACUAACCUUUUUUUCAAAGACUGAAAAUCAUAUUUUCAAGACUCAUGCUAUUUAUUCACACAAACAACUUUCAAACGAAUCCUAUGCAAAUUUAGUUCCUCUGCAGCAGUUCCCAAUACAAUCUUUCCAAGUUCCCAAUACCUCCUGUGCAUUCUUUUUCAAUACAAAAUAAAUAAUUUUCAUGCAUUUGCAUUCUCUCACGCAGCAACAGCGCCUAGAUUAAACAUACUAUCUGCCAUUCCAGUGUUAGCCUAGGCCAUCCAGAUUACCAUGCGGCAUCAAUUUCCUCAUGAAUCGACAGCUGAAGGUCCGCUCAAUAUAAAGGCUGCGGUCCCCUUAAUGCAACACAUACACCUGUUUCCUCAAUCCUUAGAGCCUUAGAAUUUCGUUUUUAUAUUUGAUUAUCCAUUAAUAGAUAUAGGGCCGGGAAUGGAUCAGGUUGGGCCUAAGUCAAUUGGACAUAGACCCGGCCUACUCGUUCACGUUGUAUAUGGGUCUAUAAGUAAAAAAUAUAUAAAUAAGGAAAAAGCUUGGAUACACCCUUUCUCGUAUAAGAAAUGGGAAUGCCCAACGGUUCAUAUUUGUUCAUCGUAUUCGAACGGUGAUGCUUAUAUCUUUUAGGUCAUCUCACCUGACAGAGGACCAGACAUUCGCAGGCGUCUCUGGCAGGUCUACUUCUUGUUUUCCCCUCUCUCUCUCAGCUGAUCCUCUUUGUCUCUCUAAGCUGAUUUCUACUUGCAGCCGUGCCUCCCUCUCAUAAGAGCAUUUCGAUUUCUCUCUCUCAGCUGAUUUCUACUUGCAGCCGUGCCUCUCCCUCAUCAGAGCAUUUCGAUUUCUCUCUCUCAGUUGAUUUCUACUUGCAGCCAUGCCUCUCUCUCAUGAGAGCAGUUCGAUUUCUCUCUCUCAGCUGAUUUCUAUUUGCAGCCAUGCCUCUCUCUCAUCGGAGCAUUUUCAUUUGCUCUAUUUAUCGAUACUUGAUUCAUGUCGUCUACUUCUCUAUUGGGUGUUCUGGACUUGUAGAUUUAUCUAUCAAUGCCAUAGGUCAUGCUAUAAUUUUUGUUUGUUUUAUGCCAUGGAGUAUGCGAACCAUUCUGAUUAGGGUUUUUUUUGGAAACCUACUGUCACACCCCAAGAAUUUACAAUACAGAUAUUCUUGAGAUGUGAUAGUCAAAACAUAUAUACAUUUCUUGAUAGGACAAAUUUACAGUGGCGAAUUCUUAUAAAGUAACAAAAGAAAGCUUAAGCACAACUACAGUAUCUUUCAAAGUUGAACCUGACGAGCACUCAAAAUGAAACCGCAGUUAUCCUGAAAAAAAUGUUUACCAUAAUUUGAUGAGUUUGGCUACUCAGUAAGUGAUCAUCAUAAUCCUAAAAAUAAUCAUGAUUUAAAGAUAUCAAUAUUUUCAAAAAGGAGAUCUAUUAACAGAAAUGCAUUAACGGUUUCACUUUAAAAAAAAAUGCAUAAUAAAGUAUAAUUUGAAUAAUUGAAAUGCGCAUAACAUUUUAACGGUAAUGCAUAAUUCAAAAGAUUUCAUA